Molecule: ribosomal RNA, 279 nt
Filed under: Triticum aestivum (bread wheat)
Lineage: Eukaryota; Viridiplantae; Streptophyta; Magnoliopsida; Poales; Poaceae
Description: partial small subunit ribosomal RNA
Source: RNAcentral
GUUGAAAUUCUAAAGUUUUUAGAGUGACAUGAUUGUUUUCCCAAUGCAGGUGUUGCAUACAUAGUUCUAUUGACCAUUCCUGUGACUGUUGCAUCAGCAGAAAGAAGCUUUUCGAAAUUGAAGCUAUUGAAGUCGUAUUUGUGUACUACAAUGACACAACAAAGGCUUACUGAUUUGGCCACAAUAGCACUUGAGAGUGAAGUGUUGGAGAACAUUGAUUACGAGGAUAUUGAAGAUUUCAUUUCAAAGAACACUAAAAGAAUGUUGUUAUUCAAGUAA